RNAcentral lists this ribosomal RNA (405 nucleotides) under uncultured bacterium. RNAcentral's name for it is "partial 16S ribosomal RNA". It matches the Rfam family "Bacterial small subunit ribosomal RNA", at positions 28 to 526 of the family's 1533-position model. The record is from RNAcentral.
GACGAACGCUGGCGGCGUGCUUAACACAUGCAAGUCGAGCGGAGCGGCGAACGGGUGAGUAACGCGUGAGUACCUGCCCCCCUCUCUGGGAUACCAGUUGGAAAAGGCUGCUCAUCACGGAUAGUGGGGGAUGACUCGCGUCCUCACAGCUUGUUGGUCGGGUAGGGGCCUACCAAGGCGAAGAAGGGUAGCCGGCCGGAGAUGGCGACCGGCCACAGUGGUCUGAUAUACGGCACAAACUCCUACGGGAGGCAGCAGUGGGGAAUAUUGCACUAUGGGGGAAACCCUGAUGCAGCAACGCCGCGUGCGGGAUGACGGCCUUCGGGUUGUAAACCGCUUUCAGCCAUGACGCGGUAGUGGCAGAAGAAGCACCGGCUAACUUCGUGCCAGCAGCCGCGGUAAUUC